Molecule: unclassified non-coding RNA, 370 nt
Filed under: uncultured bacterium
Lineage: Bacteria
Description: contains 16S-23S intergenic spacer region
Source: RNAcentral
UCCGGUUUGUCACCGGCAGUCUCGCGUGAGUCCCCAACUUAAUGCUGGCAACACGCGACAAGGGUUGCGCUCGUUGCGGCACUUAAGCCAACACCUCACGGCACGAGCUGACGACAGCCAUGCAGCACCUGUGCUAGCCCCUUACGGACACGGGCUUUCACCCGCUUUAACUAGCAUGUCAAGCCUAGGUAAGGUUCUUCGCGUUGCAUCGAAUUAAGCCAUAUGCUCCACCGCUUGUGCGGGCCCCCGCCAAUUCCUUUGAGUUUCAACCUUGCGGUCGUAGUCCCCAGGCGGCUCACUUAAUGCGUUAGCUGCGGCACCGAAGGUUACCCCCCGACACCUAGUGAACAUCGUUUAUGGCCAAGACUAC